UCGGGGAUAGCUGAACGGUAAAGCGCAGGGCUGGCCAGCAUUAAAACGUGUGCCUGAGGUUAACGGUUCGACUCCGUUUCUCCGAU
RNAcentral lists this transfer RNA (86 nucleotides) under Lactiplantibacillus plantarum. RNAcentral describes it as "tRNA-OTHER". It matches the Rfam family "tRNA". Rfam says of the family: Transfer RNA (tRNA) molecules are approximately 80 nucleotides in length. Lineage: Bacteria; Bacillati; Bacillota; Bacilli; Lactobacillales; Lactobacillaceae. The record is from RNAcentral.